AGUGAACGCUGGCGGUAGGCCUAACACAUGCAAGUCGAACGGCAGCACGGUAAGAGCUUGCUCUUACGGGUGGCGAGUGGCGGACGGGUGAGGAAUACAUCGGAAUCUACUUUUUCGUGGGGGAUAACGUAGGGAAACUUACGCUAAUACCGCAUACGACCUACGGGUGAAAGCAGGGGAUCUUCGGACCUUGCGCGAUUGAAUGAGCCGAUGUCGGAUUAGCUAGUUGGCGGGGUAAAGGCCCACCAAGGCGACGAUCCGUAGCUGGUCUGAGAGGAUGAUCAGCCACACUGGAACUGAGACACGGUCCAGACUCCUACGGGAGGCAGCAGUGGGGAAUAUUGGACAAUGGGCGCAAGCCUGAUCCAGCCAUACCGCGUGGGUGAAGAAGGCCUUCGGGUUGUAAAGCCCUUUUGUUGGGAAAGAAAAGCAGCAGGUUAAUACCCCGCUGUUCUGACGGUACCCAAAGAGUAAGCACCGGCUAACUUCGUG
RNAcentral lists this ribosomal RNA (492 nucleotides) under uncultured bacterium. Its description in RNAcentral is "partial 16S ribosomal RNA". It matches the Rfam family "Bacterial small subunit ribosomal RNA", at positions 29 to 507 of the family's 1533-position model. The record is from RNAcentral.